UUGCUCGCUUCAGCAGCACAUAUACUAAAAUUGGAGCAAUACAGAGAUUAGCAUGGCCCCUGCGCGAGUAUGACACGCAAAUUCAAGAAGCGUUCCAUAUUUUA
Molecule: small nuclear RNA, 104 nt
Organism: Kogia breviceps (pygmy sperm whale)
Lineage: Eukaryota; Metazoa; Chordata; Mammalia; Artiodactyla; Physeteridae
Source: RefSeq, a predicted model, not a curated record